GGACGUUACUGAAAAGAGAGACAGUUCCUGUUCUCAGAGCAAAGCAGAUAUGCACUGUUACAUUAUAUUAUAACACGUCACUAAUGUUUUUAUAGACUACUGUUCUCAAGUACGUUACCAAGGCUUACUUUAGAUUAUUAGAUUGUCACAGUAAAAGUCGCGAUUUGCAAUCAAACAGUAACUUCUAUAAAGUUCAACCAUGUUCUACCACUGCUGUUGCUUACUUAUGUCGGUACGAUAUGUCGCACAUGCUGCUCAACUGAGUUAAAAAAAAAGCCAAUGCAUAGGACAAUAAAAGUCUCUUCAGUUACCUUUGCUCCUUUAAGACACUUUACAGUACAAUACAGCAGCAAUAUCUAUAGACUUAGAAUCCCAGGAUUUUCCGCGUUGUCUUCGCGUGGAGGGAAUCAGCGCUCGCGGCGGCAGACGGUGCAGCGGCUUCUUUGGUUUUAAGGAAGGGAGUCACAGGAAGUCACUUUUCUGCUACUAUCCAGAAACUAGAUCCGGUGUCUUUCGCCAGAGUUUCCUUUGUAGUUAGGAUCCUUGCAGAAGAAUGUGAGUCAAUAGUAGAGACGUUUGUUAUCCGAGCACGUCUCCUAGUGGCAGACCACUGCUACUACACUACUACUCCUGUUGAACAUCGGGGCUUGUUUUCAAGUCCAUAUAGAAAUGAGAAUUACUGCAAGAAUAUGAAUAUUAGAAUGACACGUGUCCCAUUUGUACAUAUGUAGUAGAUACAAUUUUACAAAUUACAAAUAAUGCAAAACUAACCACAUAAUCAUGGUCCAGCUAUUUCAAUUUUAUUAUGUGACUCUAAAAAUGAUAUAUUUAUUAAUAUAUUGUAAAAAAUGCACUAUGUUUGCCAGGUUGCUCUGAGUUCGCCAUCCUGGAUUUUCACUGUGUCGACAUUGGCAGCAACUCAUCUGUGGAGCGGUUGAGCUUCCCUCCUCUUGCCAUAAUCUGUGGAACCAUGCAAGCUCAUUUGAGCUUUUACCUGGUUGUGGCCGGAGCUGAAGCCCUCAUCCCUGUCCUUGCCAUUCCAAACCACUUACCACAGGUCUCCAUUUCAUCACCACGCAUCCUCUCCCGUAUACCCCAAACCAGCCAUCUGCCCUCUUUCUCCCCUUUCACUGGCUGCAUAAAGGUACUGGUGGUUAUUUCACGAUUAAUGCUAUGUUCUUCUCUUAUAGCACGAGCAUGAGAAUCGCUGUGAGGACUGCAUUGAUACAGUCAACUUAAUUACUUUCAUUUGUAAAUAAACACUGUUAAAGCUGUUAACA
This 1280-nucleotide long non-coding RNA is filed under the name Betta splendens (Siamese fighting fish). RNAcentral's name for it is "lncRNA (ENSBSLG00000018295.1)". The record is from RNAcentral. Lineage: Eukaryota; Metazoa; Chordata; Actinopteri; Anabantiformes; Osphronemidae.